Molecule: long non-coding RNA, 320 nt
Organism: Podarcis raffonei (Aeolian wall lizard)
Lineage: Eukaryota; Metazoa; Chordata; Lepidosauria; Squamata; Lacertidae
Exons: 2
Source: RefSeq, a predicted model, not a curated record
AAAGCAGUUAACAGUCAGACUGCAUCUCUGGCCUGUCAAGAUGGAUCUCCAUAACAGCUCCUGUUUCUGCUGAUGAAGAGGCUGCUCAGUGGGGCAUGUGCACUGGAAACAUGAGGAAAGUUCAUCAGUGACAAAGAGAGCUGAGCCUCAUCCAUUUCACCCAACAGUACUGUUUAUGGCACAGAUGAUGAAUGAGACUUGCUGACAAUGAUGACCUGGGGGGGCCUUUCGCAGAACACGAUGAAGUACAAUUAGUGCUCGGGGCUCUUGAAGAGUGCAAUACAAUGCAAUAAAUACUUCCCAUGAAGUAUUAAAACACA